RNAcentral lists this long non-coding RNA (436 nucleotides) under Elaeis guineensis (African oil palm). RNAcentral describes it as "long non-coding RNA (EGUI_LNC021864)". The record is from RNAcentral. Lineage: Eukaryota; Viridiplantae; Streptophyta; Magnoliopsida; Arecales; Arecaceae.
UGGGAGGACUUCUUGGAUGCUUAUCUAUGAAAUAGUUUAAAUGUCUAAACAGGUUAAAUGAGUUGGGUCAGAUCGGAUUUAAAGGUUAAAUGGCAAUUUAGAGGAUCAAGCACGACCGCAGCUGAUCAGGUGCUCCUAAAAUUUCCUGUUAGUUUAUGAACUACUAUAAAGAAUGAAACAUUUGAUUUUUGGUUGUUGACAUAUCGCUGCAAGGCAUUCGAAUAAUUCAAGCAGCGACGGGAGUGGCGAAGACGAUGCUCGUCAGUGAUACUGGAUGAGUUUAUGCACUUGGGAAGGAUAAUUUUGGAGAAGCAGAUACUUUAGAUAAUCUUUUGUUAAAGCCUUAGCUAGUGAAAUCUUUGAAAGAUAUAUUUGUUGUUCAAGUAGCAAUAGGUCACUUCUUCACACUUAUGAAACAGGAUUUCUAUUCGAGGGG